Sinocyclocheilus rhinocerous is the source of this 314-nucleotide long non-coding RNA. RefSeq lists it as uncharacterized. NCBI's taxonomy places the organism in Eukaryota, Metazoa, Chordata, Actinopteri, Cypriniformes, Cyprinidae. The record is from RefSeq and is a predicted model, not a curated record. The transcript has 3 exons.
AGUCUCAGAAUUCAAAGUAAGGACUCGACCUCCAGUGAUCCCGUUGCAGACUUCAAAAGCCCAGCAUAGAUGGCUGUCAGUCCAGGAUGUCAGCCUGGAGACAUCUACCACUGGAUAUGAGCCUGAGUCCUCCUCCACUCCAUCAUCUUCUCCCUGUGCUCGACAACGCACCCUCUCCUUUGGCUCUCCUUCGUCGAUAUCAACUUCAUAUCUGGAUAUCGCAGACUGCACUCUUGCCAGUGCUAUUUCAGAAGUAUAUUUGGCGUCUGGUGGUGAUGUGAGGAAUCUGCUGGCUGGGAAGGCAGCUGCUGGCU